CCAGCGCAGCGCACUCCCUGCCAGCCACAGCCUGACACGCCGUGCGGCCCCCCAGUCUCCCGCGGUCGCCUCCCCCAGGCAUGGCACAGGGUUUCGCCUCAUUAUGGCAGCAGCACGGCACAGCACGCUCGACUUCAUGCUCAGCGCCAAAGCUGAUGGCGAGACCAUUCUAAAAGGCCUCCAGUCCAUUUUCCAGGAGCAGGGGAUGGUGGAGUCAGUGCAUACCUGGCAGGACCAUGGCUAUUUAGCAACCUACACAAACAAAAACGGCAGCUUUGCCAAUUUGAGAAUUUACCCACAUGGCUUGGUGUUACUGGACCUUCAGAGUUAUGACAGUGAUGCACAGAGCAAGGAGGAAAUUGACACACUUCUGAACAAAGUUGAAGAAAGAAUGAAAGAAUUGAACCAGGACAGUACUGGGUGGGUGAAGCGAUUACUACCCAUAGUGCGAGGAGGGGCCAUCGACAGAUACUGGCCCACCGCUGACGGGUGCCUGGUUGAAUACGACAUUGAUGAAGUGGUGUAUGAUGAAGAUUCACCGUAUCAGAACAUUAAAAUUCUACACUCAAAGCAAUUUGGGAAUAUUCUCAUCCUUAGCGGGGACGUUAAUUUGGCAGAGAGUGACUUGGCGUAUACCCGGGCCAUCAUGGGCAGUGGCAAAGAAGAUUACACUGGCAAAGAUGUACUGAUUCUGGGACGUGGAGAUGGGGGCAUAUUAUGUGAAAUAGUCAAACUGAAACCAAACAUGGUCACUAUGGUAGAGAUUGAGCAAAUGGUGAUUGAUGGAUGUAAGAAAUAUAUGCGAAAAAAUGUGCAGUGAUGUCUUAGACAAUCUUAAAGGAGACUGCUAUCAGGUUCUAAUAGAAGACUGUAUUCCAGUACUGAAGAGGUAUGCCAAAGAAGGGAGAGAGUUUGAUUAUGGGAUUAAUGAUUUGACGGCUGUUCAAAUCUCCACGUCUCCAGAAGAAGAUUCCACAUGGGAGUUUCUCAGACUGAUUCCUGACCUCUCCAUGAAAGUAUUGAAGCAGGAUGGGAAAUAUUUCACACAGGGGAACUGUGUCAAUCUGACAGAAGCCCUGUGGCUCUAUGAAGAACAGCUCGGGCGCCUGUAUUGUCCUGUGGAAUUCUCGAAGGAGAUCGUUUGUGUUCCUUCAUACUUGGAAUUGUGGGUAUUUUACACUGUGUGGAAGAAAGUUAAGCCUUGAAAAUGAAUGUCCCCAAUCAUGUGCUGCAGAUAACGUUCCUGACCUCCAUAUGCUGUACAUGACAUCGAAAUGAGUCAGGCAAUUGAUUGUGAAUUCCUUAAAGUUUUCUUUAAUAAUUAUUUUUAAUUUAAAAAAGCAAAUGGGAAAUGUAUAUUUUGAUGAGCUAGGGUGUUAUUUUUGUUGAAAGUCAGCUGAAGGACAGUUAGCACAGUGAAGACUGCUAAAUGCACUGACCCCCUAGAAUGUGAUUUUUGUUUUUAUUUCUGUGUGGGCUUUUAUUUAUUUAUUUAUUUAUUUAUUUAUUUUUUGGUAGACCUUCAAUUUGGAUGUUUGGAGGAAUGAACAUCAUUGUUUUGUUCUGGAGGGAAGUUCUUGAUGCUGUUUCUUUCUCCCAAAUUGACUUAGACAUUAAAAUUUGGUGCUUAUAAGAGUUAAAGACAUGAAUAGUAAUGCUUCAAUUAAAAUCACAAAAGAGACAAAAAAAAGUUUAUCUCAUAGAAGUAGAGAGCAGAACAGUAGUUACUAGAGGUUAGGAAGGGUAGUGGAAGGGAAACAGAGGAUGGUUAAUGGAUACAAAAUAACAGCUAGAUAGGAGAAAUAAGUUCUAGUGUUCUAUGUAGUGUUCACUAUAGGGUGACUAUAAUUAACAACAAUUUAGUGUAUAUUUUCAAAUAGCUAGAAGGAGACAGACUUUGAGUGUUUUCAACACAAGAAAUGAUAAAUGUUUGAGGUGGUGAAUAUGCUAAUUAACCUGAUUUGAUCAUAUACACUGUAUACAUAU
This is a non-coding RNA of Microcebus murinus (gray mouse lemur), 1986 nucleotides long. The record is from RefSeq and is a predicted model, not a curated record. NCBI's taxonomy places the organism in Eukaryota, Metazoa, Chordata, Mammalia, Primates, Cheirogaleidae.